UCUCCGUUGGUGAACCAGCGGAGGGAUCAUUACCGAGUUUACAACUCCCAAACCCCUGUGAACAUACCUUACUGUUGCCUCGGCGGAUCAGCCCGCUCCCGGUAAAACGGGACGGCCCGCCAGAGGACCCCUAAACUCUGUUUCUAUAUGUAACUUCUGAGUUUACUGUACUGUAAUAAGUCAAAACUUUCAACAACGGAUCUCUUGGUUCUG
This 213-nucleotide unclassified non-coding RNA is filed under the name root metagenome. RNAcentral's name for it is "partial contains small subunit ribosomal RNA, internal transcribed spacer 1, and 5.8S ribosomal RNA". The record is from RNAcentral.